Molecule: ribosomal RNA, 169 nt
Filed under: Streptococcus suis
Lineage: Bacteria; Bacillati; Bacillota; Bacilli; Lactobacillales; Streptococcaceae
Description: partial 16S ribosomal RNA
Rfam family: Bacterial small subunit ribosomal RNA
Source: RNAcentral
UUUUUAUGAGAGUUUGAUCCUGGCUCAGGACGAACGCUGGCGGCGUGCCUAAUACAUGCAAGUAGAACGCUGAAGUCUGGUGCUUGCACUAGACGGAUGAGUUGCGAACGGGUGAGUAACGCGUAGGUAACCUGCCUCAUAGCGGGGGAUAACUAUUGGAAACGAUAGC